AAAUAGUACAUUUUGUGGCCUGGUCUUCAUAUCUGAGAGUCAAAUAGAAGCGUCAAAUACUGUGUUUACAGCGCAGUGGUAAACAUUCCUAUUUUCUGGGUGCUAAUCUGCUAAAUAGUACAUUUGCGGACUGCACUUCAUACCUGAGAGUCAAAUAGAAGCAUCUAAUAGUGUGCUUACAGCAUAGUGGUAAACAUUCUUAUUCUCUGGGUGCUAAUCUGCUAAAUAGUACAUUUUGGGGCGUGCACUUCAUAUCUGAGAGUCAAAUAGAAGUGUAUAAUAGUGUGCUUACAGCGCAGUGGUAAACAU
This is a non-coding RNA of Pelobates cultripes (western spadefoot toad), 309 nucleotides long. Lineage: Eukaryota; Metazoa; Chordata; Amphibia; Anura; Pelobatidae. The record is from the annotation of a GenBank genome assembly.